GUAGGUGGCAAGCGUUGUCCGGAAUUAUUGGGCGUAAAGCGCGCGCAGGCGGGUUCUUUAAGUCUGAUGUGAAAGCCCACGGGCUUAACCGUGGAGGGUCAUUGGAAACUGGAGAACUUGAGUACAGAAGAGGAAAGCGGAAUUCCACGUGUAGCGGUGAAAUGCGUAGAGAUGUGGAGGAACACCAGUGGCGAAGGCGGCUUUCUGGUCUGUAACUGACGCUGAGGCGCGAAAGCGUGGGGAGCAAACAGGAUUAGAUACCCUGGUAGUCCACGCCGUAAACGAUGAGUGCUAAGUGUUAGGGGGUUUCCGCCCCUUAGUGCUGCAGCUAACGCAUUAAGCACUCCGCCUGGGGAGUACGGCCGCAAGGCUG
This 373-nucleotide ribosomal RNA is filed under the name uncultured organism. Its description in RNAcentral is "partial 16S ribosomal RNA". It matches the Rfam family "Bacterial small subunit ribosomal RNA", at positions 527 to 896 of the family's 1533-position model. The record is from RNAcentral.